RNAcentral lists this ribosomal RNA (470 nucleotides) under uncultured Glomeromycotina. RNAcentral describes it as "SSU rRNA". It matches the Rfam family "Eukaryotic small subunit ribosomal RNA", at positions 569 to 1044 of the family's 1831-position model. Lineage: Eukaryota; Fungi; Glomeromycota. The record is from RNAcentral.
AGCAGCCGCGGUAAUUCCAGCUCCAAUAGCGUAUAUUAAAGUUGUUGCAGUUAAAAAGCUCGUAGUUGAAUUUCGGGGUUAGUAGGUUGGUCAUGCCUCUGGUAUGUACUGGUCUCACUGAUUCCUCCUUCCUGAUGAACCGUAAUGCCAUUAAUUUGGUGUUGCGGGGAAUUUGGACUGUUACUUUGAAAAAUUAGAGUGUUUAAAGCAAGCUAACGCUUGAAUACAUUAGCAUGGAAUAAUGAAAUAGGACGUUCGAUCCUAUUUUGUUGGUUUCUAGGAUUGACGUAAUGAUUAAUAGGGAUAGUUGGGGGCAUUAGUAUUCAAUUGUCAGAGGUGAAAUUCUUGGAUUUAUUGAAGACUAACUACUGCGAAAGCAUUUGCCAAGGAUGUUUUCAUUAAUCAAGAACGAAAGUUAGGGGAUCGAAGACGAUCAGAUACCGUCGUAGUCUUAACCAUAAACUAUGCCG